GUAGGUGGCAAGCGUUGUCCGGAAUUAUUGGGCGUAAAGCGCGCGCAGGCGGUUCUUUAAGUCUGAUGUGAAAGCCCACAGCUCAACCGUGGAGGGUCAUUGGAAACUGGAGAACUUGAGUACAGAAGAGGAAAGCGGAAUUCCACGUGUAGCGGUGAAAUGCGUAGAGAUGUGGAGGAACACCAGUGGCGAAGGCGGCUUUCUGGUCUGUAACUGACGCUGAGGCGCGAAAGCGUGGGGGAGCAAACAGGAUUAGAUACCCUGGUAGUCCACGCCGUAAACGAUGAGUGCUAAGUGUUAGGGGGUUUCCGCCCCUUAGUGCUGCAGCUAACGCAUUAAGCACUCCGCCUGGGAGUACGGCCGCAAGGCUG
RNAcentral lists this ribosomal RNA (371 nucleotides) under uncultured organism. Its description in RNAcentral is "partial 16S ribosomal RNA". It matches the Rfam family "Bacterial small subunit ribosomal RNA", at positions 527 to 896 of the family's 1533-position model. The record is from RNAcentral.